RNAcentral lists this small nucleolar RNA (130 nucleotides) under Suricata suricatta (meerkat). The record is from RNAcentral. Lineage: Eukaryota; Metazoa; Chordata; Mammalia; Carnivora; Herpestidae.
GUUGAGACCUAUCCUGAUGAGACUUAUUCUGCAGACCUACAUCGCUGGAAACGCCUCAUGGCAUAUGUGUGGUUUCCUUUAUCCACAGCACUGUGUGGUUGGAUCUGAGGGAAAGAACUCCAGGACCCCA